Vigna radiata var. radiata (mung bean) is the source of this 1361-nucleotide long non-coding RNA. RefSeq lists it as uncharacterized. The transcript has 2 exons. NCBI's taxonomy places the organism in Eukaryota, Viridiplantae, Streptophyta, Magnoliopsida, Fabales, Fabaceae. The record is from RefSeq and is a predicted model, not a curated record.
UUUGCAUCUAUUUAUAUAUUGUAAUUUGGUUUCACAAAAUUGGUUUGUAAGGUGAGAUUUGCAUCUAUGUAUAUAUUGUAAUUUGGUUAUGUUUUUAGUUAAUGUGGGAUCACCAACAUUUUUGAGCCUUAUAAGUAACUACUUGCACUAAAUUGUCCUCUCCAUCAAAUUUCACAACAUCCAACAUCUUAAACAUUUUAUAUGUAGGUUUUGAGCUUUCUGAGGUAUCUAAUGAAUAAAGAAACAUUGUCCUCUCUAUUGUUGUUUACCAAAAUGUUACAAAUUCAAUGUCUUUUUUUAUUUGUCUACCCAUAAAUUAUUAUUGUGCAAUCUGUUAUCUUUCACUCAUGGGUAUUCUUGAAGGAUUAGAUAAACUUUUUGCACUGUUUUUGUUUUAAAAGAUUCUUUCUAUCAUCAUGAUAAGAUGGAGUUUUGUAGUUAACACCAUAUCUCUUAAUCAUCUCACAUUUUUGAAGAUGCUGUAUCUCUAAUAUCAUUGUUUGAAAUGACAAUUGUGUAGAAAAAUUCAACACUUGAGCAUCAACUUUUUCUUUAUUCCCUUUCUUGAAUCUGAAAAAUUCCUUUAUUCAAUGUCUUUGAGCAGCAAUUACAUUUAACUUUUUUCUUGCCAACUAAAACAUCUACUACAUGUUUCUACAUGAUGAUGCAUCGACAUUGGCAUCACAAGAAUUUGAACUAGUUCCGUUUCUAGAUGUUUUAACUCUUUCGCAUGGCUUGAACUGCACCCAACAAAACUAAGAAAAAAACUUUAUAAAAACACAGUAGAAGCAAAGUGAAGAAAAAAUAAGAGCUGAUGUUGCGGCUGGAGAAGAAAUGAUAUGAAAAGCAAAGGAACGAAAUGAAAGCUUAGCAUUUUGUAGAAACGAUAUGCAGGCUGGAGAAGAUGCAGGACACAACGACCACCGUGCAGAGCAUAGAUCACAAAACAAUGACGAUUGGAGAAGAUGCAACAUAGUGGUCGAUCAGGUGUCUAUCUGACAAUGCUGCUUUAUGUCUAUCCAUGGACAAGUUUCAACCUCAUUCAUCCGCCCGACAGUUUCUAUUGAAAAUUAAAAAUCUAAACUUACGACAGAAGGAGGACACCAGAAGCAAACAUUUGAAGGCAUGGUACUAAUUCAUUCAGGCAUAGCUAUAUCAACUAACAAGCAUACUGUUUAAGAUAUGAUCAUGCCCAGAUAGGAACAGGGUGGGUGGUAUGUGGGAACAUACAAUAGAAAAAGAGGAUGAUUCGUGCUUUCUAGUCCUAGUGUGGGUGAGGGAGAUACAGAGAAAGGGAGGCAGUGUUGUUUUCUACACACAUGAAGAUUGUCUUAUUUUUAGAGAGUAAAACGAGUAUUUGG